UGGGGAAUAUUGCACAAUGGGCGCAAGCCUGAUGCAGCCAUGCCGCGUGUAUGAAGAAGGCCUUCGGGCUGUAAAGUACUUUCAGUCGGGAGGAAGGUGGUAAGGUUAAUAACCUUGGCAAUUGACGUUACCGACAGAAGAAGCACCGGCUAACUCCGUGCCAGCAGCCGCGGUAAUACGGAGGGUGCAAGCGUUAAUCGGAAUUACUGGGCGUAAAGCGCACGCAGGCGGUUGAUUGAGUCAGAUGUGAAAUCCCCGGGCUUAACCCGGGAAUUGCAUCUGAUACUGGUCAGCUAGAGUCUUGUAGAGGGGGGUAGAAUUCCAUGUGUAGCGGUGAAAUGCGUAGAGAUGUGGAGGAAUACCGGUGGCGAAGGCGGCCCCCUGGACAAAGACUGACGCUCAGGUGCGAAAGCGUGGGGAGCAAACAGG
Molecule: ribosomal RNA, 429 nt
Filed under: Chloroflexota bacterium
Lineage: Bacteria; Bacillati; Chloroflexota
Description: Chloroflexi bacterium partial 16S ribosomal RNA
Rfam family: Bacterial small subunit ribosomal RNA
Source: RNAcentral